CAAACUUGAGAGUUUGAUCCUGGCUCAGAACGAACGCUGGCGGCAUGCCUAACACAUGCAAGUCGAACGAAGGCUUCGGCCUUAGUGGCGCACGGGUGCGUAACGCGUGGGAA
Molecule: ribosomal RNA, 113 nt
Filed under: Novosphingobium aerophilum
Lineage: Bacteria; Pseudomonadati; Pseudomonadota; Alphaproteobacteria; Sphingomonadales; Sphingomonadaceae
Description: partial 16S ribosomal RNA
Rfam family: Bacterial small subunit ribosomal RNA
Source: RNAcentral